Long non-coding RNA from Lutzomyia longipalpis, 510 nucleotides. RefSeq lists it as uncharacterized. NCBI's taxonomy places the organism in Eukaryota, Metazoa, Arthropoda, Insecta, Diptera, Psychodidae. The transcript is spliced from 2 exons. The record is from RefSeq and is a predicted model, not a curated record.
UACAUUAGUUCAAAUGCGGGUGCGAAUGAGAGGGCGCCACAGCUGCGUUCCCUUCUACCCAGGUUCCUUCGAACGAGGUCAAAGCGGACGAAAGGUGAUGCGUUGUACGUGGUGCCAUCUCGCGGGAAGUGGAUGUACCUGAGCAAUGAGUGCAGUAUUUCUGCAAAAGUGCAAUGCACUUGCUCUACUAUUGCCCCUCUCUUUGAAUGUAUUGCAAGAGAGGGAAACAAGGGAAGAAGGAGCACCUGUUAGGGUGAGUUGUUGUCAGUGUGAUGCAGGGAGUGGCGGGAUGAACAACCAACGAAACGGAGGGUGAAACGAAGAUGGGAACAUUGGAAGCUGCUAUAUAUUCGCCUUAUGCUUGAAAUUUAGGAAAAUGGAAAAAAUGGAUAUUUUCUUUGGAAGAGAAGCUGAGCGAGGAAGCAGAGGGGAUUCAAAUGAAUUAUUAUAAAGAAUGAAGAAUUUGUAAAUAAAUAAAUUAAGAAAACAAAGAUUUUCUUUAAAUUUUAA